ACUUUAAUAUGCAGUCUCCUUUAGUCUGUCUAAUUAAAAGGAGCUGUGUAUUAGAAGAGA
This 60-nucleotide microRNA precursor is filed under the name Octopus vulgaris (common octopus). Its description in RNAcentral is "Ovu-Mir-12578-v1_pre stem-loop". Lineage: Eukaryota; Metazoa; Mollusca; Cephalopoda; Octopoda; Octopodidae. The record is from RNAcentral. RNAcentral also lists the same sequence under 1 other name.